RNAcentral lists this long non-coding RNA (1932 nucleotides) under Helianthus annuus (common sunflower). Its description in RNAcentral is "sRNA HanXRQr2_Chr06g0262121". The record is from RNAcentral. Lineage: Eukaryota; Viridiplantae; Streptophyta; Magnoliopsida; Asterales; Asteraceae.
GUUUCUAUUCAGCCUUUAAAAGUCAUUUGUACGUUCUUUGUAGUUACAUUUCUAACAGAGGAAAUGUAUUUUCAGUUGAGAAUAACUAAAUAUUUAAUUUUGAGCUGAUAUGUUUUUUUGUUAAAUUGUGCAGGACUUCCUACAAGCAAGCAAGUUGGAUGCCAAAUUCCAUGGUAACCAAAAUAGUUCAAAAACAGCUUAGCACAUCAUCUACGCGAUUUAGAAGGUUUAGAAGUGGAUGAGAAACCCUAGCCGCCUCCCUGUGGAGCAACCCUAUGUAUCUUCAUCCCCAAUUCCGAUUGUAAGCAACAUGUAAGUUUUUUUUUUCUGAAUCUUUAAUCCUCCAAACCUAACUUUCUUUGAUUGAAGCUUCUUCUAAUUUAAACCUCUAAAUCUCUGUCGUAUUCUACAUUGGCGAUUCCAAAGGUACGUUUUCACUAUUCGAUUUCAUCUAAUCUUCAACAAUGAUCUGAUGACGUAAUUUUUUAUAUCAAAUUGGUUAGAAUAACUGAAUCGGUAGAUUGAUUUAUGACCUAGGGUUUAUGUAGCAUGUAUUUUUUUCAUUUUUUAGAUCAAAACAGUUGGAUUAAUUGGACUGGUAUAGUGAAUUAUGACCUAGGGUUUAUGAACUAUCAACUAUGAUUUGUUUUUUUUUUUUUUUUUGUGGAUGACGGAAAAGCUAGCAACGAUUCUUUUUUGUUCAACCGAUGGAGCUAUGAUGACGUUCAGGUGUUAGUGGUGUUCUGGAGGCGAAUCGAAGUUCACGUCGUCUGGUACUUUGGUAACAAUUACAUUUCGUCAAUCACGUUUGCAACUUCUAGAAGCUCCAGUCCAAGAAACUUUGAUAGAGGCUGAACCAUUUUUCUCAAACAAGGUUCAGGGAGUACCAGAGAUCACACAAGAAGAAUGGAGAAGGGCUAAUUAUGCACCAAAUUACACAGCCAUGUCAUCAUUCAUUAACCGCCAUAUGACAAAUGGCAUUUUAGGAUACUUUCUGCCGAAUGUAUGCGUUGCCAUCAUAGACCAAAAUUACUUCUACCAAUGCCUGAAGAUGGCAGUCACUGGUCUUCACUGCACAGCUAGGAUCUUUGAUGAUUCUCUCGGCAGUUUGCACAUGAAUGCAAGUACAGCCACUGAAUGCCUUUAGGAUAUUUAGUGAGCGAGGUCCCGAAGUUUGCACUAAGCAACAUUGCUAUUGUCGGCCAUUGGAACUGUUAGUGAAUGUGUGGGCUUACCAUAGUGCUUGAACCAUGGUUUACAUUGAUCCAAAUUCUGGAUCACUAGAAGAACAACACUGAAUUUUAUUCGUUAAAUGAUUGGAUCGAUAUUCUAGGCGUCCCAUUGCUUCAGUUUUGUUGAUCAUGGAAAACGGAUUAUCACUAAUACCGUCAAAGGAUGCAUGAAAGGGUAUAUACGCGUUUGGCUGUAUAAAGAGAGAAGUACACGGGUUGUGUGAGCGAUCGGUGGAGACCGCGGACCAUGUCUGGAAAAAAAUGGUGUGGACACAGGUGUAUGCUUGGCUCAGAAUUCCGUCGGGUGCCAGAUUCGGUGGGAAGUAGACUGCAAAAUACUUUAUGGCGACUGUGGAAGAAUAGAAAUUGUAAACUAUUUGAUGAUAGAAACUUUUUGGUGAGCAAACUGGCUAAAGAAAUAAAAGAGGAGGCGUUCAAGUGGUGUCGAUAGAGAUUAAAGGUAUCGGGUGUGUCUUGGUAUGAAUGGGGGCAAUUUCAUUUAGCAAUUUAGAAUCAUGUUUAGUAACAUGAGUAGUGCAUUUGAGUUUUUAGUAGUAUCUGAUGUCUCUGUAAUAUGGGUCGCUUAGCGUCUUCCUAUGUGGCCGGUUUGUGGGUAAUAAAAUGUUCCGUUUUGUCGUUAAAAACAGGUGAAAAAAAACUUUUGUGGUUAUUUCAUCAUUUAUUUAUCUUUUUGUUUUGU